Paralichthys olivaceus (Japanese flounder) is the source of this 536-nucleotide long non-coding RNA. RefSeq lists it as uncharacterized. The record is from RefSeq and is a predicted model, not a curated record. NCBI's taxonomy places the organism in Eukaryota, Metazoa, Chordata, Actinopteri, Pleuronectiformes, Paralichthyidae.
CUUUUUCAGGGAGCGUGGAGGAUGAAGCGUGACGUAAGCAGCCAUCUUGGAAACACCAGGCUCUGUUAAAAGUUUUCACGACACUGAGUCCAGAGUCGACAGUGACGUGACGCCAUCGCCUCGUCGCACCGAAACCAUCCAAUCACGUCACAGACGCAGUGAGAGAAGUUGUCUUUCAUAAAACCGAGUUUCCAGCAAACAAGAGUCGAUGUUUAAAGACAGUUCCUCUUUGUGAUGCUUCACAACGUCUUCAGCGCUAACGUCAAACCCCGCCCCCUCAGAGAGCGAGCUAGUUUUCAGCUGGACACAUCUGGACUCUGCUGAUGAUCCUGUCAGGGACCAACAGGGGCCCCCGGUGAGUCCUUCCAUCAGGAGCGAGGGGUCAGAGAGAGAGAGAGAAAACAAGGAGCUGUGAACUGAGUCAGUCUCGAUCUGAAAUCUCUCCAAUGUUUAUUUCCCAGCAGCCCUCUGUGCUCUCAGCCUUUAUUUCCCUGAAGGAUUCAUACAGAUUUUCUAAAGUAAUUCUCUCUGAGGAA